AGUGGCAGACGGGUGAGUAACGCGUGGGAAUCUACCUUGUAGUGGGGAAUAGCCUUUCGAAAGAGAGGGUAAUACCGCAUGUUUCCAAAUUUAUUUGGAAAAAGACUUCGGUCGCUAUAAGAGGAGCCCGCGUCCUAUCAGGUAGUUGGUGGGGUAAUAGCCUACCAAGCCAAUGACGGGUAGCCGGUGUGAGAGCACGACCGGCCACAAGGUCACUGAAACACGGGGCCUACACCUACGGGUGGCAGCAACCGGGAAUAUUGCGCAAUGGGCGAAAGCCUGACGCAGCGACACCGCGUGUGGGAAGAAGCUUUUCGGAGUGUAAACCACUGUGGCAAGGGAAGAAUUUUUGACGGUACCUUGCUAGAAAGCACCUGCUAACUACGUGCCAGAAGCCUCGGUAAUACGUGGGGUGCAAGCGUUAUCCGGAUUUAUUGGGCGUAAAGAGUUCCGCAGGCGUCUUUACAAGUUUCUUGUUUAAGCCUGAGGCUCAACUUCAGAAAAGCAAGAAAAACUGUAAAGAUUGAGUUUGUUUGGGGAAGCUGGAAUUCUCGGUGGAGGGGUGAAAUCCGUAGAUAUCGAGAGGAACACCAAUCGCGAAGGCAAGCUUCUAAAACAAUACUGACGCUAAGGGACGAAAGCUUGGGUAGCAAAAGGGAUUAGAGACCCCUGUAGUCCAAGCCGUAAACUUUCCUCGCUAGUUGCCUGGUUAAUAAUGCAU
Molecule: ribosomal RNA, 721 nt
Filed under: uncultured organism
Description: bacterial SSU rRNA
Rfam family: Bacterial small subunit ribosomal RNA
Source: RNAcentral